This 466-nucleotide ribosomal RNA is filed under the name uncultured bacterium. RNAcentral's name for it is "partial 16S ribosomal RNA". It matches the Rfam family "Bacterial small subunit ribosomal RNA", at positions 28 to 507 of the family's 1533-position model. The record is from RNAcentral.
GACGAACGCUGGCGGCGUGCUUAACACAUGCAAGUCGAACGGAAAGGCCAAGCUUGUUGGGUACUCGAGUGGCGAACGGGUGAGUAACACAUACGUUAUCUGCCCUCAACUUUGGCAUAAGCCUAGUAAACUGAGUCUAAUACCGGAUAUGAUCAACUGUCGCCUGGUGGUUGGUGGAAAGCUAUUGCGGUUGGAGCUGGGCUCGCGGGUUAUCAGCUUGUUGGUGGGGUAUUGGCAUACGAACGCAGAGACUGGUCGCCGACCCUAGAGGGGGAUCGGCCACACUGGGACUGAGGGAGGGCGCAGACUCGUAUGGGAGGCAGCAGGGGGGAACCUUGCAGAAUGGGCGCGAGUCUGAGACAGAGACGCUGCGUGAGGGAUGAUGGGUUUCGGGUGGUAAACAUAUUUCACCAGAGACGAAGAGUGAGUGACGGUACCUGGAGAGGAAGCACCGGCCAACUACGUG